AACGAACGCUGGCGGCAUGCCUAACACAUGCAAGUCGAACGAGACCUUCGGGUCUAGUGGCGCACGGGUGCGUAACGCGUGGGAACCUGCCCUUAGGUUCGGAAUAACUCCCCGAAAGGGGUGCUAAUACCGGAUAAUGUCUUCGGACCAAAGAUUUAUCGCCUUUGGAUGGGCCCGCGUUGGAUUAGCUAGUUGGUAGGGUAAAAGCCUACCCAGGCGACGAUCCAUAGCUGGUCUGAGAGGAUGAUCAGCCACACUGGGACUGAGACACGGCCCAGACUCCUACGGGAGGCAGCAGUGGGGAAUAUUGGACAAUGGGCGAAAGCCUGAUCCAGCAAUGCCGCGUGAGUGAUGAAGGUCUUAGGGUUGUAAAGCUCUUUUAACCGGGAUGAUAAUGACAGUACCGGGAGAAUAAGCGCCGGCUAACUCCGUG
This 433-nucleotide ribosomal RNA is filed under the name uncultured bacterium. Its description in RNAcentral is "partial 16S ribosomal RNA". It matches the Rfam family "Bacterial small subunit ribosomal RNA", at positions 29 to 507 of the family's 1533-position model. The record is from RNAcentral.